UGCAAGUCGAACGAUGAACCACCUUCGGGUGGGGAUUAGUGGCGAACGGGUGAGUAACACGUGGGCAAUCUGCCCUGCACUCUGGGACAAGCCCUGGAAACGGGGUCUAAUACCGGAUACUGACCUGCCAAGGCAUCUUGGCGGGUCGAAAGCUCCGGCGGUGCAGGAUGAGCCCGCGGCCUAUCAGCUUGUUGGUGAGGUAAUGGCUCACCAAGGCGACGACGGGUAGCCGGCCUGAGAGGGCGACCGGCCACACUGGGACUGAGACACGGCCCAGACUCCUACGGGAGGCAGCAGUGGGGAAUAUUGCACAAUGGGCGAAAGCCUGAUGCAGCGACGCCGCGUGAGGGAUGACGGCCUUCGGGUUGUAAACCUCUUUCAGCAGGGAAGAAGCGAAAGUGACGGUACCUGCAGAAGAAGCGCCGGCUAACUACGUGCCAGCAGCCGCGGUAAUACGUAGGGCGCAAGCGUUGUCCGGAAUUAUUGGGCGUAAAGAGCUCGUAGGCGGCUUGUCGCGUCGGUUGUGAAAGCCCGGGGCUUAACCCCGGGUCUGCAGUCGAUACGGGCAGGCUAGAGUUCGGUAGGGGAGAUCGGAAUUCCUGGUGUAGCGGUGAAAUGCGCAGAUAUCAGGAGGAACACCGGUGGCGAAGGCGGAUCUCUGGGCCGAUACUGACGCUGAGGAGCGAAAGCGUGGGGAGCGAACAGGAUUAGA
Molecule: ribosomal RNA, 712 nt
Filed under: Streptomyces coelicoflavus
Lineage: Bacteria; Bacillati; Actinomycetota; Actinomycetes; Kitasatosporales; Streptomycetaceae
Description: bacterial SSU rRNA
Rfam family: Bacterial small subunit ribosomal RNA
Source: RNAcentral